This is a long non-coding RNA of Strigops habroptila (Kakapo), 803 nucleotides long. RefSeq lists it as uncharacterized. The transcript has 4 exons. The record is from RefSeq and is a predicted model, not a curated record. Lineage: Eukaryota; Metazoa; Chordata; Aves; Psittaciformes; Psittacidae.
GCACUCCGUCGCUGCUGUCGGGCAGUGAACUUCCCAGCGGGGUGAGUUCUCCUUUAAGAAAGUGAACUGUUCCUUAUGCAUAUUUAAGGAUGUUUGUCUGCAGCAGUGCCCAGCUGACGUGGGGCCGGAGGCUCACACGCGGGACCCGAAUCCUCGGGGAGUAAAUCAUCCGCGCUUUACACGCACUCUCUGCCAGGGCUCCAGUGGGGAGCCCCUUGCCAUUGCGCUAAACACAUCCCAGGGGAUCCUGACCCGCUCAGCAUGCGUGCAGCCCUACGGUACCCAAGCAGUGGGGUUUCGGAGCUCCCCACUCCUUUCGCCCUCCCCGGCAGCGCUUUGCUGGGUGCGCAGGUGGCCGUGUGAGGAGCGGAGGGGAGCGCCGGGAGGGGGAUUGGGACAAUAGCUGGAGUGGAUUAUUCAUUCCCGUAGGCAAUACUUCCCUGUAUGGGCUUCAGGAUGCAGUUGGAGGCUUGGGAACAAAGCGGGCAUCUAAUGUCAAGUCUCCUUCCUAGGAAGAAAUAAUUCUGCUGGGACCCCUUGCCUAGACUUUGGAGGGCAUGGCACAGAAGUGUAAUCGGAAAGCACUAUCCCUGUGGAUAGAAACUCUCCUCUCUAUGGUGCACCUUGCAAGAAAGGCAGAGAGGGGACAGUUGGAGUGACCUGGCAUCGAGGAGCAGCAACCCACUUCAUGCUACUGCGGAGGAAAGUUUGUUUCCAAACCAAAUAUGCUAUGGUGCUCAGUACUGGCAUCAAGUCAGUUCGAGCCAUCCCAGGUCUUAAAAUAAAGAUCUCCAUUUGUGGCA